RNAcentral lists this unclassified non-coding RNA (343 nucleotides) under uncultured fungus. RNAcentral's name for it is "partial contains 5.8S ribosomal RNA and internal transcribed spacer 2". The stretch from base 1 to 134 matches the Rfam family "5.8S ribosomal RNA", at positions 22 to 154 of the family's 154-position model. Lineage: Eukaryota; Fungi. The record is from RNAcentral.
UGGUUCUGGCAUCGAUGAAGAACGCAGCGAAAUGCGAUAAGUAAUGCGAAUUGCAGAAUUUCCGUGAGUCAUCGAAUCUUUGAACGCACAUUGCGCCCUUUGGCAUUCCGAAGGGCAUGCCUGUUCGAGCGUCAUUAUCAACCUUCAAACCUCGUGUUUGGCGUUGGGCCCACGUCGUGCUUAGGGCACGACCGGCUCCAAAGACAAUGACGGCGUCCGUGGGACCCUCGGUGCAACGAGCUUUUUUCAAAGCACGCGUCGAAGCGGAUCUGCGGGGGGCCGGUCUCUGAUAGUCAUUAUCACUUCUCAGGUUGACCUCGGAUCAGGUAGGGAUACCCGCUGA